Zootoca vivipara (common lizard) is the source of this 7863-nucleotide non-coding RNA. The record is from RefSeq and is a predicted model, not a curated record. Lineage: Eukaryota; Metazoa; Chordata; Lepidosauria; Squamata; Lacertidae.
GAGGCAGGGAGACGCCUCCGCCUGGGCGCCAGGCCUCGGGAAGCCCCGCUUUAUUCCCUUCCUUUCCCUUUCGCGGGAGGGAGAAACCUCGGCGAGCUGCGCCGCCAGCUUUGCGGCCGGGAGUUUCCUCAAGGAAGCGGCUGCUUCGGAGAGCCAGCGUGCCGCGCCCCUCGGGGGGCGUAGCCGGCCAGCCGCACCGCGACACCACCGGCUCUCCAUUUGCUGCUGCACAGCGUCUCCGCGGGGGAAUUUCGGGGUCCGGAGAUGGCGGCGCGGGGGGCGCCCCGCCGGCGGGUCUAGUUGCCCUCGCGCCCUUUGCUGUUGAGGCCGCCGCCGCCAGGAUGGUGCCGAAGAGCUUUGGAUUCAUGAUGUUCCUUUGGGUUCAGACAGCUGCUAACAUAUCAGUGACUGGCAUAAUAGGAAGUACUGUUGAACUGAGAUGUGAUGAGUUAAAUGGCACAUUCAUCUUAAAUAACUUUCGAGUAAUAUGGCAAAAAGAAGGGGAAAUAGAGUGCUUUGUAGAAACCUAUGAUUCUGAUGAAGAUCUGACUUCAUAUCGCAUGAAAAACCAGUGUCCCGACUUCACAGGGAGGACUCGGUUUAAUGAGGAACCGAAGGAGGGAAAAUUUACUCUGCAACUGUUAAAGAUCAGUCCUAAAGAUGAGUUCACAUAUAGCUGUGUGGUACUGAAGAAUGAAAAAGGAAAAUUUACAAUACACAGAGAAGUAAAAACAAACCUCAAAGUGGCAGCAAAUUACAGCACGCCAGUUCUAACUCACAUGUCAUCUGGAGAAGAGACGACCUUUAGUUGCACUUCUAGCCACGGGUACCCACAACCAAAGGUUUAUUGGGUAAAUCAUACUGACAUCAGCCUCUUGAACUCAACUCAACAUUAUACUAGAGCGCCUGACGGGACGAUCAGUGUUUUCAGUACGUUAACAGUGAAAGCAGCUACUGGUAUCAAGUUAGAGUGUACAGUUGAGAAUGAACAGCUGCACCAAAAUCUAACUGCCACCAUUGACACAACCAGUCCUGAAAAUAGCCCCUCGGUUGAUAACACCCCAAGUAAGACAAAAGGUGCAGUUCUGGGUUCUGUUGCAGCUGUCUCAGUAGUCAUUCUACUUAUUUUGUACAUCGUGUGGAAGAAAAGGAGGACUUCUGUUCCGAAGACUUACAUUGCUCCUGCUGAAAUAGGAAACUGAGAUUUUGGACUGCUGGAGUAGUGUUGCCUGGAAACAUUCCCACAGAGACUGAUGGUUGUGUGUUUUCUAUCUGCAGCAGAGCAUGGACUGGAGCGGAACACUUACACACUUCCAGCAGCUUGCCAUGUUUAACCUUCUACUGGUGAAAGGCAGAAUGCUACCUGGGCCACGACUGAUAAAGGCUAUGUUAUAAAGUUAGUCCACCCAAUGAAACCCAGAAGGGGCACACUUCUUGGGCACAGCUCAGAACUGAUUCUGUGGGGGCGUCAACAUACACCUUUGAGCUUUCCAAGGACUGCUUCACUUGUUAAUGACAUUUUGGUACUGAACAAAUUCACAGAGGAGCAUUUUGUCAAUGGCUUAAUGGAGCUUCUUUGUUCUACAGCAGCAUAUGCCACUGAAUGCCAGUUGCUGAGGAGCAAUAGGAGAGGAGGACUAGUACUUUCAUGCCUUGUUUUUCAGCUUCCUCGAAGCAAAUGAUUGGCCUCUGUUGGAAGUAGGCUGCCGGACUAGAUGGACCUGAUCCAGCAAGGGUGGUCACCUUGUGAAGUGUGGUGGCACUUCUGAGCCCGGUCUUCCAGUGCUGGUAUAGAACGGAAGACUGACAUGGAAUCAGCCCCCCAACAUUAGACCCAGAGGUUUGGUUGUAUAGGACAGACACAUGAGGACAGCUGUCUUAUUUUAAAAGAUGGGGGACAUGCCAUGGACACCACCUCCAGGGAGGUGGGCAGGUCUGUUAAUCAGUUGGGAAUAUGAUCCUCUACACCAGACAUUACUAGAGUUUAUCACUUUGGGCCCAAAUUAGGCCAGAGUUCCUAUCUCGGUUUAAUGGCUUCAUCACAAUCUGAACUUCAGCACAUGCGUCUUACGUGGGAACCAUAUUAACUGCAAGCUCUGCUACUGUUGAAGGUGAAACAAUCUUGGGCAGAAAAUGAAAAGGCCUCUGGCUAGUUAUGAUUGCUUUCCCCUGCUAGAUACUCCAGCCAAUUAACAGUCAGCCCAGUUGUGUAACAAUAGCAAAUGGAAUGUUUCGAAUGCCGGGAUGUGAAUGCAUUACCAUUUGCCAAAGGUUCUUCAAGAGCAGCUUUAGUGGACAGACAUCUCAUUUCAGUACAGCUGCAAAAUCUAAACAAACCGAAGGCUGGGCUUCAGACAUGCAAGAUUGCAAAGAUCGGAACUUGUAAAUCCUAGUUGUAAGAUUCCAUCCAACGUUUUCUAUGCAUUUGCAGGGGAAGUGUGAUGUGCAUUUACAGGUUGAACAUUGAAGGAGUACAGACAACUUCAGUACAGGGGUCUGCUCUGUCCAUGCUUCCUCGUGAACAGUGAAUGCACCAGAAGGAAUGCAGGGCUCUGGAUUUGUGCAAGUGUUCAUAUGAUUUACUGAGUUGUUGGCUUCAUGUUGCCAGUGUGCUAAGUCCGAAUUGGAAGAUAAGAUGGCAAGGUAGGCAUGCAGAGAUAGCAGCACAUAGUGAAUGGUGAUACAUGCAUUAAUCUGGGGUUUUAUUAGUAGAUUGGAUUAUUUCUCUUAACCCUUUAUGCCAUGCUUAGCCAUCUGAGUGUUUGAAAGGGGAAGUUUCAACUUGCCAUGUUGGAGCUUUCUAGAUCUCACUUAACACUUUUCAAGUAAAAUCUCAGGGUAACCAUGGAAGUCCUCAGGAUAUAUUUAUAUUAAUUGAUCUGUACAGUUAAACUUUUGGCGUGCUAAAUCAAAAUCUUUAGCUUCGUGACAUCUGUGUUAAUUGGCAUGAUAAAGUAGACAUAUUUUGGGACACAUACUUUAAACUGGUACUUUUAUCAAUUCAAUCAUCAUAGACACCAGAAAAGCAGUAUAAAUUACAGCCUUGAUCAAACCAGAAGACUUGAAUUGUUUAUUAGAGAGCCAGUGGAAUUCUAUUGAUGGUCUUGUUACAACUCAGUCCUAAAUACUUGGGAAAGUAUUCAAUUAUUUCCUAAGUAAGUAUUGUUGAAAAACCUGCCUUAAAAGCACCAUUCUGAAUUUAUACUCUGCAAUUAUUGUACAUAUGUACAUAUUGUACAAUAGAUGAGCUGAAAAUUCCUCAUGAAGCUAAUACUUUACUUAGUUAAUCUCACAGGGAUAUCAUCUAUUUGACUUUACUAAAAUAUAUUUUUUAUUUCUUUGUUUAUAAAUUGUGCAAUAUGAAUGUGAAUCUUUGCUCUGUUUCUUCCCAAACAAAUCAUGUCCUGGUUGUUGUUUUGUUCUAGUGCACUGUGAUAAAAUGGGUUUUAUUCACUGUUCAACACAUCGGUAGAAAUUUCAAGUUUUCCUUAUCUCAAUGCAGAUAAUACUCAUUUUCUAUCAUCCCACCCUUUACCUCCUAUUCCCUCACCGACAAAAGUCUGAUACUUCCACUGCUACCAGCAAAGGAAAAACAAUUUGGAAUUUUCCAGUUAUAAACACUUGUGUGCUUCGUGACGCAUUAUCUUUCAUUUCUUUAGAUGUUUCCUGAAGACUGACCUUUUAGUGCAUGAUCUACCUGAUGUAUAAGAUUGGACCUUGUCCACAGUAUUUCUGCAUGUCAUUUUAAUCUGUUUUUAUGACAUUGUUUCAGUGUUUGUAAGUUUUAUACUGUUGUACACUGUUUGGAGAUGCACCUUCAAUGUACUCUUUUUUUGCGCCUGCUAAAACAUUCUUGUUUAGACAAGCCUACUCAGAUUCUUAGAAAGUUGAGGUAACUUUAAUCUGUUUUAGUAUUUAAACUUUUGUGUGCUUUGAAGUAUGGCUGUGAAUUUUUUUGAACGUAAUUGCUUUAUCUUUUUGCAAACUGCUUUGAGGCUUUUUUUACAAUCGUGGUGUGUAAAUUUUAUUAAAUAAACAAAUAUAUAUUUUUAAAAAAUGUUUUUGAACCAAUGUAAGCUCAGUUUUACUUUGAACAAAGAGCCAGUUCCUAGAUGAUGAUUAAAUUUUAUUAUCCAUCCUCCUACAGAUGGUCUCAGGGUGGAUUGCAACAAUAUAUAGCAAUAUAAAAUGCAGCAUUAAAAGCAGACUUAAAACACUACAAUCACACCCCCAUCGUUCUGCCCGGACACUGAGGUCCAGUGCCAAGGGCCUUAUGGUGGUUCCCUCACUGCGAGAAGACAAGUUACAGGGAAUCAGGCAGAGGGCCUUCUCGGCUGUGGCACCUGCCUUGUGGAACGCCCUCCCAUCAGAUAUCAAAGAGGAAAACAACUACCAGACUUUUAGAAGACAUCUGGAGGGAGCCCUGUUUAGGGAGGCUUUUAAUGUUUAAUAGAUUAUUGUAUAUUAAUACUUCUGUUGGAAGCCGCCCAGGGUGGCUGGGAAACCCAGCCAGAUGGGCGGGGUUUAAAUAAUGAAUACAGUAAUAAUAAUUAAUAAUAAUAAUGUUCUGCAGGGUUUUGGAUUUGCAGUUCCUCUGUGUUCAAUGCCCCUACCCCCAGUUCAUUAAAAACCCAUUAAAUGUUUAAAUGAAUUGCACCUGGCAACCACCUCCAUCCAGUUGCAGCCUGUGCCAUGGGUUACAACAGUGAAAACACAAUCUUUAAAAAGCAGUUUAGAACUUAAAAUUGCAGAAAUACGGUGGGUCCUCAAAACAAUAACUAUUGACACGGACAAAUUGUAAAACAUAAAAGUCCUACUUUUGCCCCCCCAGGCAAACAAAGUGGCUAUAUCAGGAGCGGGGAAUUACCGUACUUUCCAUCUGAGGGCCACAAUUGCUUGUGGACAGCCUGGGAGUUGCAUGCCUGUGGUGGGCUGUGCUAGAGGCCAGAAUAGAUGGAGCAAAUGGGUGUGACUUAAUGCUCCAGACAGCCAGCAAGCAUGAGGUUUCUACACACAUAUACCCUGACUCUCCAUAUUUUUUCAUUCAGCAAAUGAAGGGGCCUGACCACAGCUCAAAGACACAUUCCAAGAGAGCAUGAGCAAGCCAGAUAGAGGUUGCGGCCAUGGAAGAGAGUCCCCAGAGUUUGUCAGAGGGGACUAGAGGACUCACGGACAGAAAGUUUGAUAUUCCUGAGUUACCUGCAUACCAUGGUUGUCAAGACUCUUGAACAUCAUCUUCUGAGAGAGGCUACUUGACAGUGCAUCUCAACAGGGCAGAGUAACCUAAUUUCUGAGUAAGUAAGCACCAACCUUUGGUUUUGACUUUGUAGCUAAAGAUACUGUGAGUUUGGGGCAGUGGUGAUUGCAGAAGAAUUCUGAGUAUAUUUUCCUGUGGAUGGCUUGGUACAUGAGAGGUUGUCACUGGUUUGCACAUAGCCUUUAGCCUUCAGACUCUCCAGGUACCUUCCAGAUACCAAACUUUAAUAAUUUCAGGGCACUUGCUACACACCCAAUCAUGUUAUGUUACACUGAAUGAGACCAUGCCUAUACCUGAUUUCUCAAGGGAUAUACAGUGGAACCUUGGUUCCCAAACUUAAUCCGUUACAAGCGUCUGUUCGAUUCCCAAAACAGUUCGGGAACCAAAGCUUCCUGCAGCCAAUCAGAAGCUGCGGAAGCAGUGCUGGGCGUUCAGCUUCCAAAGAACGUUCAAAAACUGGAACAAUUGCUUCUGGUUUUUGUUUGUCUGGGAGCUGGAACGUUUGUCUCCCAAGGCGUUUGGUUGCUGAGGUUCCACUGUAACUGGUUUGAGGAAAGAGAAAUUGACCCCAGCAAGUUACGUUUUUUAAAUAAGAAAAGCUGUGCAAGCUGCUCAGCAUCAGUGAGAAUCAUAUAUAAACAGAGCUGAUUGCAUUCAUAUUCUUAAUAGAACCAAAGGAAGCUAUUUGUCCAUCUAGCCCAGCAUUGCCUGUUCCGACUGGCAACAGCUGCUCUAGGGUCUCAGGUUUUCCCCAUCACCUGCUACCUGAGCCCUUUAAGAGGAGAUGCCAUGGGUGGACCUUUUCUGCCUAAGUAGCACAUUGUACUUGUAUGUAAUGGUGACUGAAAAGCCCGUUCUAACUAGGUCAUGAUGUAGCUGCUGCAACCACCAACUAUUUUCUAAGAUGCAUCACGUACAUGUAUGUAAGGUUGAUACUAAAAAACGUUUUUAAACAUGAUAUUCUACUUUGGAGAUACUGGUCUCCCUGAUUUGGACUCUGUCCUUGUGUCACAGUGGCACAAUGUGCAAGGUCUACCUGUUUACCAGCCAAUAUCUGACUUUAAAGCAUGGAAAUCCCCAGAAAAUUCCCUUAAGCCGGUUUGCCAAAAGUUCCUCCAUGCAAUGCACAUGGGAAAGUCCCAUUAUGUAAAAUUUCCUUUCCAGACAAAUUAUAUCCUAUAUGGGAACAGUGCCAAGUUACGGCACAAGCAGCUGAACUAGUGAAGAGUUUAUCCACAUAAAACCAAUAAAUUGCUGUGUCUUGAGCGCUUUCACUUGAUUGUGGAUAUUUCAGAAGUAUAGGAUCAGGUGCCUCAGUGCAGGAAAUUCCUCUAUGCCACACUGGGAUUCUACAAAUCCAUCCCUAGUCUAAUAAGUAUCAUUUUCUUAGAAUGGAGCCAUCUGCACCAACUUGUGGAUGCAAUUAUUGAGGGCAACUUCGCAUAUUAUGCGAAACAGUUUGCAUACCACAACAAUACUGUCUCCGCUCCUCCACAUGCAGCUGCUGGGUGACCUUGGGCUACUCACACUUCUUUGAAGUCUCUCAGCCCCACUCACCUCACAGGGUGGCUGUUGUGGGGGCGGAAGGGAAAGGAGAAUGUUAGCUGCUUUGAGACUCCUUCGGGUAGUGAUAAAGCGGGAUAUCAAAUCCAAACUCUUCCUCUUCUUCUUCGAUACAUGAAGGGGGUGUUGCCCACACAUAUGUUUAAUACGGGAGUGAGGGAAUACAGUAUACAAACAGAGCACAUCUAUGCAACAAUGUGUGGAACUGCUUUGACAAGUGCUUGAGCUGGAUAUUAAGAAAGGAAAGUGAGCUCACUAUUUCCUGUGACAUGUUUAACUAUUACCUAACAGACACAGCAACAAAUAUUGCUUGCUUCUUCUGUGGAGGAAAGAUGCCAAUAUGUUGAAAAAACAUAAAAUUUGGGAGUCCUUUCCCAGCCGAGCUGCUAUCUGAAAUGACGGCUGGAACAUCUCCCAAAUAGGAGGCUGGGACUUAACUUACUCAUGAGUAAGGAUAAUGACCUGCCACAUAAAAUAACAGGGUGAAAUGCUUAUUUAAUUGUGGUCAGGGCAGCAUGUUUGGAAUGGGAAUAUUCAUCUUUAAUGGAACUUUAUCACCAGCAAACUGCUGACUCCCAGGGGUUGCUGAACUUGUGGGUGGAAAUACAAGAAAGCUAAAUUAAGGCAGUAGUACCACACCAGAUACGAUUGUAUUAGAAAGUCAUUUCUGGUAUAUGGAACUAACUGGCAAACUGAGCGAGAUGUUAGUUAUGGCAGGGUAAAAACAAAAUGUACAAUAGGAGUCAUCUUCUGUUUCCACAAUAAUCAGUCCAAUUAAUCAUGAGACAAGAUAUUUGGCUGUCAAAUUAUGAUUUACAGCUAACAUACUUAACGUCAGCUAGCCCUGAUAAAAAUAAACCAUGGAUACAUUCCAGCAAAAUUUUGAGGACAUUUAUUUCCUUUAUUUUGUAUUAUAUAACUUAAACAAAUCCUUUUUAUUUUGUGGUUUCUUUAGUAGUUUUCUCACCCAAUUUCAGCACUCUUGAUUACAUGCUCUCAAUGUUCAGGUAUACGUUUUCAGAAGGCAGGAAUUUAUUUGGAAA